This 252-nucleotide ribosomal RNA is filed under the name uncultured bacterium. RNAcentral's name for it is "partial 16S ribosomal RNA". It matches the Rfam family "Bacterial small subunit ribosomal RNA", at positions 1234 to 1500 of the family's 1533-position model. The record is from RNAcentral.
CUGGUACAAUGCGAAGCGAAGCAGUGAUGUGAAGCAAAUCGCGCCAAAGCCAGUCCCAGUUCGGAUAAGAGGCUGAAACUCGCCUCUUUGAAGUCGGAAUCGCUAGUAAUCGCAGAUCAGCAUGUUGCGGUGAAUACGUUCCCGGGUCUUGUACACACCGCCCGUCAAACCAUGAGAGUCACCAACACCCGAAGUCCGCCUUGGCGGCCUAAGGUGGGGGAGAUGAUUGGGGUUAAGUCGUAACAAGGUAAC